UCCGUAGGGUGAACCUGCGGUAGUACGUUAGGGGAAGGAGUUACUCCCAAACCCCUGUGAACAUACCAAUUGUUGCCUCGGGCGGAUCAGCCCGCUCCCGGUAAAACGGGACGGCCCGCCAGAGGACCCCCAAACUCUGUUUCUAUAUGUAACUUCUGAGUAAAACCAUAAAUAAAUCAAAACUUUCAACAACGGAUCUCUUGGUUCUGGCAUCGAUGAAGAACGCAGCAAAAUGCGAUAAGUAAUGUGAAUUGCAGAAUUCAGUGAAUCAUCGAAUCUUUGAACGCACAUUGCGCCCGCCAGUAUUCUGGCGGGCAUGCCUGUUCGAGCGUCAUUUCAACCCUCAAGCCCAGCUUGGUGUUGGGACUCGCGAGUCAAAUCGCGUUCCCCAAAUCGAUUGGCGGUCACGUCGAGCUUCCAUAGCGUAGUAGUAAAACCCUCGUUACUGGUAAUCGUCGCGGCCACGCCGUUAAACCCCAACUUCUGAAUGUUGACCUCGGAUCAGGUAGGAAUACCCGCUGAACUUAAGCAUAUCAAUAAGCGGAGGA
This 548-nucleotide ribosomal RNA is filed under the name Fusarium sp. Fs181TNW-T. RNAcentral describes it as "eukaryotic LSU rRNA". The stretch from base 181 to 334 matches the Rfam family "5.8S ribosomal RNA". Lineage: Eukaryota; Fungi; Ascomycota; Sordariomycetes; Hypocreales; Nectriaceae. The record is from RNAcentral.